Molecule: ribosomal RNA, 473 nt
Filed under: uncultured soil bacterium
Lineage: Bacteria
Description: bacterial SSU rRNA
Rfam family: Bacterial small subunit ribosomal RNA
Source: RNAcentral
GCUGGCGGCGUGCUUAACACAUGCAAGUCGAGUGCGCGUCCGUAGCAAUACGGAUGGCGCACGGCGCACGGGUGCGUAACACGUGGGCAAUCUGCCCUUCGAUGGGGAAUAACUCCGGGAAACCGAAGCUAAUUCCGCAUAACAUUCCUUGGACCUCGGUUCGAGGACUCAAAGCCGUAAGGCGUCGAAGGAGGAGCCCGCGCCCGAUUAGCUAGUUGGUGAGGUAACGGCUCACCAAGGCAAUGAUCGGUAGCUGGUCUGAGAGGAUGGCCAGCCACACUGGAACUGAGACACGGUCCAGACUCCUACGGGAGGCAGCAGUGGGGAAUCUUGCGCAAUGGGCGAAAGCCUGACGCAGCGACGCCGCGUGGGGGAUGAAGCAUCUCGGUGUGUAAACCCCUUUCGACUGGGACGAAUGCCUCGCAAGAGGAGUGACGGUACCAGUAGAAGAAGCCCCGGCUAACUACGUGCCA